ACGAACGCUGGCGGCAGGCCUAACACAUGCAAGUCGAACGCUCCGCAAGGGGAGUGGCGCACGGGUGAGUAACACGUGGGAACCUACCUUCUGGUACGGAACAACCAAGGGAAACUUUGGCUAAGACCGUAUACGACCUCCGGGUGAAAGAUUGAUCGCCGGAAGAGGGGCCCGCGUCCGAUUAGGUAGUUGGUGAGGUAACGGCUCACCAAGCCUUCGAUCGGUAGCUGGUCUGAGAGGAUGACCAGCCACACUGGGACUGAGACACGGCCCAGACUCCUACGGGAGGCAGCAGUGGGGAAUAUUGGACAAUGGGCGCAAGCCUGAUCCAGCCAUGCCGCGUGAGUGAUGAAGGCCUUCGGUU
Molecule: ribosomal RNA, 364 nt
Filed under: uncultured bacterium
Lineage: Bacteria
Description: bacterial SSU rRNA
Rfam family: Bacterial small subunit ribosomal RNA
Source: RNAcentral